This 1190-nucleotide ribosomal RNA is filed under the name Parancyrocephaloides daicoci. RNAcentral's name for it is "bacterial SSU rRNA". The stretch from base 1 to 513 matches the Rfam family "Eukaryotic small subunit ribosomal RNA", at positions 1343 to 1831 of the family's 1831-position model. The record is from RNAcentral. Lineage: Eukaryota; Metazoa; Platyhelminthes; Monogenea; Dactylogyridea; Ancyrocephalidae.
CUAACCUGCUAAAUAGUACGGUUGCAAUCUUUAUGCGGAUUAUCGUGCUGAUGCUUCGGUAUUGGUGCGGUGCCGCAUAGGCAGGUGAAACUUCUUAGAGGAACUGGCGUUCGAAAAGGCGCACGAGAAAGAGCAAUAACAGGUCUGUGAUGCCCUAAGAUGUCCGGGGCCGCACGCGUGCUACAAUGACGAUGUCUAUGAGCAUGAUUAACUUGUCUGUAAAGGCUGGUGAAACUGUUCAAUCAUCGUCGUGCCUGGGAUUGGGGUUUGCAAUUGUUCCCCAUGAACCAGGAAUUCCUAGUAAGCACAAGUCACUAGCUUGUGCUGAUUACGUCCCUGCCCUUUGUACACACCGCCCGUCGCUACUACCGAUUGAAUGGUUUAGCAAGGCCAUUGGAUUGAAUGCUUGCGGUUUGCGCUGCUUGUGUUCGAGAAGAUGGCCGAACUUGAUCAUUUAGAGGAAGUAAAAGUCGUAACAAGGUUUCCGUAGGUGAACCUGCGGAAGGAUCAUUAAACAAAUUCUUAUGUACCACAGUGUUGUGGCACUCACAAGGUGUCCUCGCUGUUCGACCUGAUGGUAUUGCCUGUUGGGUCGUCUGGGAUACAGAAGCAGACUUUGCGGUUGCUGUGUGUAACACUCUUACGCGCGGUGGCUAUGCACUGUUUGCCGUUGGUCACUGAUCAGGUGUUGUCGGCAUGUUGGAUGCGCACUACAGCGGUGAGUGGUGUGUGUCUGGCGUGUUGGCUCGUUGUGUAUAAGCCUGCAGUGAUCGAUAUCAUCGCAAGUUUGUGUUCUUAUUAUAUCCAAAGCUAACGGUGCUUACAGUGGUGAAGCUGUACAGUAGCGGGUGCUUGCUUGGUUGCUUCGCGUGCUAGUGGAUGCGGCUCAAUUGGUCUCCGUUGUAUGGAUUCUGCCCUAUAGCUGGCAGAGCUCCGUCCGGGGAUCUUUUGACUGCUGAUGCUUGCGCAGUGAUGAUGACUUGGUGCCCGUCUACUGUUGCGGUGGAGCUUUGUAGCACUAGUGUUGACCUUGUGCGGGGGCUGUGAAGUAGCUGUUGGUGAGCUAACACUCAUCAUUGGUGAAAAGAUGGCUACGCAGAACGGUUGAUACAUGACACGGUUGCGAUGCUCACGCAUUGCUUCAAUGUCAACCUUCACAACUGCAAGUGGUGGAUCACUCGGCUCAUGUG